UAACAGAAUGCUAAGUCAGUGCUUGGUUGAUUGGCUUUGCUCACUGAUUGUAUUUGAUGAUAGAUUUUAAAUUGAUAACUUCUAAAUUUUAAAUUGCACUGCCCAUAUUACUGAUUCACUGUUCCUUCGGUGUUUUUUGUUGUUGUUAAUCAUUGUGAUGAGCUUUGUUAAAAUUGGGUUGAAAAAUGUUAAUCUUUCUUCAUUUUUCAUUGUUCUUAACUUCUGUUCUUAUUAAAAAAAUUGCAAUUGGUGAUCUUUUGAUUUAUUAUAUGCUUCAUGUUUUUAAUUUCACUCUGCUUCUAGGCUUUGAAAUCAGUUUAUGAUAACUGUGAUCCAAUUAUUUAGUUGGAUAACUGAUGUAAUUAUUGAGUUUAAGAGAUUGAGUAUUUUUGUUCUCAUUAUUAGUAAGACAUGGAUAGUUUAGAAUUUUCUAUUUCUUUCCCUUACUUCUGAAGUUCGUCAUUUCGUGUUGGCUUCAACUUUCAAAUGGGAAUUAGGAGCUGGUGAGUGGUGAAGAUAACAACAUCUUCUGGAACUGAGUCUGUUGUUUCACUGCCUGAUGGGAAAACCGGUUGGAUCAAUAAACCAGUGAAUCAGUAAAUAGAGCAGUUUGAUGACCGAUCCGGUUUUCAGAACCUUGAGUCCCUGCCCUCCUCUCUUCUCUCUCACUCUCACACCAAAAUGAAUCCCUAAUUUCACCCAACUAACCCUAUCAGAGCAAACACCGCCACUACCGUCAUCCCCCAGCCGCCACCACUCUUCUCUUCAUCACCGUCUCUGUGCUUGUCGUGAAGCCCCACCAGCCACCGUCACCCCAGCCUGCCGCUGUGAUCGUCGUCGUCGGCAGUGACAGAGGGUGCCAUCGUCAUCGUCGUCCUCGAUCCUCUUCUCCUCUACAUCACGCGAACGGUUACUCAAUCCUCUUCAAGUGCGUCCUCUCCUCUCUGAAUCUCUGCCCGGAGCCUCGCCUGGAAUCUCUGCUCGGGGCCUCGCCGUCGCAAACUGAUCCUCUUCUGAGAUCACUGUCACCGCCGUUCCUCCCUCACCGUGUCUCUAGUAAGCCGCUGCUUCUUCAGUUUCGAUUUUUAAGAUUCUGGCUUCUGACUUGAUUUUUUUUACUAGAUUCUGAGUUCGGAUUGUGUUCUGCGUUAGGUUGUUGCUUAAUGUGAUUCUGAAUUUAGUUUGGAUUGUUUCACUUAGUUUUUCUGUUUCUGGAUUUUUUGGAUUUGGAGGUUGAGUUGUCUGUAUUAUGAGUUUUUGUUGUUGAAAAGCAUUGAUUUUGUUGAACCUAGUUAGGGUUUGGUUAGUUAUAAGAGGCUUGUUGCAUUCUAAUGGCGAUUUCAGGCAGCUGCCAAGUGUCGAGAUUUAGGAGCACGCAGUGGUCUUCCAUAUCAUGUUGAUGACCCACGCAUGCUUCCUUCAUGCAGUAGAUUUUCUUCCAGUUAUGCUUUUUCCACAAUAAGAGAUUUCAUCAAUGUGUUUUUCAAUUGAAUUGUAUAUUAGCAACCCAAAAAGGGAUAAUUGAAUUGUAUAUUAAGAGAAUUGACGUUGAAUAAUUAGCCUUGACUUGACAAUGUUGCCAAGAUCUUCAAUUUCUAGCAGUUUGAGUGGAA
Non-coding RNA from Arachis ipaensis, 1613 nucleotides. NCBI's taxonomy places the organism in Eukaryota, Viridiplantae, Streptophyta, Magnoliopsida, Fabales, Fabaceae. The record is from RefSeq and is a predicted model, not a curated record.